Molecule: ribosomal RNA, 253 nt
Filed under: uncultured bacterium
Lineage: Bacteria
Description: partial 16S ribosomal RNA
Rfam family: Bacterial small subunit ribosomal RNA
Source: RNAcentral
UACGGAGGAUGCAAGCGUUAUCCGGAAUGAUUGGGCGUAAAGCGUCCGCAGGUGGCUAUGUAAGUCUGCUGUUAAAGAGUGAGGCUCAACCUCAUAAGAGCAGUGGAAACUACAUAGCUAGAGUGCGUUCGGGGCAGAGGGAAUUCCUGGUGUAGCGGUGAAAUGCGUAGAUAUCAGGAGGAACACCGGUGGCGAAGGCGGCAUCCUGGACCGGCAUUGACGCUGAGGCGCGAAAGCUAGGGGAGCAAACGGG